Gallus gallus (chicken) is the source of this 697-nucleotide long non-coding RNA. NCBI's taxonomy places the organism in Eukaryota, Metazoa, Chordata, Aves, Galliformes, Phasianidae. The record is from Ensembl.
GGACAGACUGCCAGGAAGUCAAUCCAAAGUUCACAGUUGAUGUGGUGUGCUUGGUUGCUGCUUUGGAACUUGGACAGAUAUUCUCUUCUGCAUGUAAAAUCACCAACAGGGAAGCAUCAGCAUCUUGAGAAGAGGUGGAAAUGGAGAAAUUCAGUAAUCGACUAUACCAUACUUAGUAGGUACAAGGAAGUAAAUUCUGAAAAAGUGAGAUAACAGAAAUGAUGAAGACUGCAGUAUGAAUUCUGGAGUAGACAUGAAUGGACUAGAGUGAAAAAUAGGUGGUGGAAAAGCUGGUAGGCCAUGCAAUGAAAAGCAUACAGACUGAACCGUGGACCUGAUGACAGAAGAGGAGAAAUAGUAUUUCCAGUUACAUAUCAAAGGAGAAGAUAAUUGGUAUGAAGACCCCAUCCAGAAAGAAGUUACCUUAAAGCCAGAGUUCAGAAAGUCUGGUGGCUGCCUGUUGGUCUAUCACCUCAGCUUCUAUCAAUACAGAAGAAGAAAACAAGUCUUUCCUGUUCAGGAAUAGGGAAGUAAUUGUCCCCCUGUACUCAACACUGGUGAGGCCGCACCUCGAGUACUGUGUCCAGUUUUGGGCCCCUCACUGUAAGAAAGACAUCGAGGCCCUGGAGCACGUCCAGAGGAGGGCAACAAAGCUAGUGAGGUGUCUGGAGCACAGGCCUUAUUAGGAGCGGUUGAG